GUGUUGGAUCUUCUAACUCUUGACUGCACAAAGAUUGAGGAUAUUGUAAGAUUCAGAAGUCAUAUUUUGAAAUGCAUUCAAUCAGAAAGCGCUUUCUUGUGUUCUGAGACCAUCUUACCACAAAGUUACGAAGAAGUGGAACAAGCCAUCCACACACUUGUUACACUAGAACAGAUUCCUCAACAUGGUAUUAUUCUACUUGAAGAACUUGGUGAUUUAAUAAUGAACCAUGUAACACAGAGCAGAGAGCACCUCCACUCCAUAUUGCAAUUCCUCUUGCGAUAUCUGCACAGAAUUGGGGUUAUUAUUUGGUAUGAAGAUAUUGAUGUGCUAAGUGACCGAGUGUUUAUCCAGCCUUCAUUCCUCAUUUCUAUGUUCAAGACCAUUGUGAGACAUGACCUGGUGCAGCAGCUUGAGGGAAUCUCAAGAGACCUACUCAUGCAAGAAGGAGCUCUAAUGAAACAAAAGUUCAUCUGGGUGGAGGACUUGCGGUCCAGAGGCACCCUGCACAAUGCAGCCCUCCGCAUUUUAGUCCGGAGGGAGUUAGAGAAACUGGUCAUAGAUGAUGAUGACUUGGUCAGAGAGGUAGUAGGAAACAAAAGGGAGGAAGGCAUCAUUCUCACCCUGUUGCAGCACUUUGAGGUUUGCCUCCCAACUCUUGUCAGAAGCCCCAUGAACCCCCAAGCACCAGAGUUCAUUCCAGGAGAAAAGCACUGGGAAUCAGGCAGGGAGUCGAAGAGAGACCCUGAUGGAGCUUGCCUCUUCCCCAUUUAUCUGAAGGAUGACCUCAUAGUAUGUCAGAAAUGGGGUGAGAACAAACAGGAUGAUCUCAGAGUGCACGUGUACAUCCUUCCUGAGGUUCCACAUGGCUUCUUUCACAGACUGAUCAUUAAGACGUGUUCUCUUUACUCGACUCACUGGGUGGGAAAGGAGCAGUGUCUCCUCUGCUGUGGAAACAGACUUGCUCUGUUUAGACAGGGGGACAAUGAUGGAGAUUCGUUUAUAGAGAUACGCUGCCGAAGACCUGAAAAGUAUGAAGAGUUUCGGCAGAUGUGGGAUCUGAUCUUGGCAGUGAUGUCCAAGCUGUUUGGGCUGUCAAGGCAGUGGCCGGGACUGACCCAGCAGGUGCACACACCCUGUCCAGAGAGAGGCUGUCUGCAUUAUUUUACCUGGAGGGACUGGCAGGAAUUGAACAACACCAACCUUUACAGUCUUGUGAAGGAGGAAAAAUUAGUUUGCCAGGGAGGCCAUACACGACGAACAGAACUGAUUUUUCCAAAAGCUGCCACUUUGCAGUGAUGACUAUGAAAAUGACGUCAAAGAAGACAAACACAGCAUCACAACCUCUUCAGCAAUUUUAAAGUGGCAAAAUGUUUUUUGUGCUAGUCAAUUUUAUCUCCUUUUUUAGGUGACUGAUAUGAGUAUUAUUUGGAAACUAUUUUGUGGCAAGUGUCACUCUGAGUAUGAGGUUCAGGGCUGAGGCUGAUUUUGUAACAGCUGUUUUGCAAUAGAUGUAUUACAAAAUACUCCAGAAGACUACUUGCAUUUCUGUUUUUAAUAUGCAGCGUUUCGGUGUUUAUGUGUACAAUGGCAGCCUCUGCUGGCCCUUGACGACUGUCGUCUAUGUUUGUCUUUGUGAAGACAAGUUGUACACCUUACAGUGUUACAUGACAAAUUACAACUGCUGCAUGUAAAAUAUUUAAGCUGAUCUUUAAUAAUAUGAUAGUCCAAAUCAAUCCGGUCCUGUAAAAACUCCUGAUAUCUGCUUGCCACCCCUGUAUUUCUCUAGUUUUUCAUCAGGUUCUCAAAACUCACUUCUAGUGCUGGCUAAUGCUGCUGCCUUCAGGGUUUACUCGUAAAUGUCUUGAAGAAGGUUUUAUUGUUUAAUCCUUGUAGUCAAAAGAAAUUACAUGUUAUUAU
Oreochromis aureus is the source of this 1920-nucleotide long non-coding RNA. NCBI's taxonomy places the organism in Eukaryota, Metazoa, Chordata, Actinopteri, Cichliformes, Cichlidae. The record is from Ensembl.